Molecule: ribosomal RNA, 253 nt
Filed under: uncultured bacterium
Lineage: Bacteria
Description: partial 16S ribosomal RNA
Rfam family: Bacterial small subunit ribosomal RNA
Source: RNAcentral
UACGGAGGGGGCUAGCGUUGUUCGGAAUUACUGGGCGUAAAGCGCACGUAGGCGGCGAUCUAAGUCAGAGGUGAAAGCCCGGGGCUCAACCCCGGAAUAGCCUUUGAGACUGGAUUGCUAGAAUCUUGGAGAGGCGGGUGGAAUUCCGAGUGUAGAGGUGAAAUUCGUAGAUAUUCGGAAGAACACCAGUGGCGAAGGCGGCCCGCUGGACAAGUAUUGACGCUGAGGUGCGAAAGCGUGGGGAGCAAACAGG